RNAcentral lists this long non-coding RNA (338 nucleotides) under Rattus norvegicus (Norway rat). RNAcentral's name for it is "long non-coding RNA NONRATT015734". The record is from RNAcentral. Lineage: Eukaryota; Metazoa; Chordata; Mammalia; Rodentia; Muridae.
UUCAGUGCCUCUGAGUGUGGGAACAAGAAGUUCUGCGUCAGGAGUCCGUUGAACUGUGACCCAGAGAAUGAGCCUGCCUGCGUCUUCUUGUCCUUCACCAGAGAAAACCAGUCAGUGAUGGUUGAAAUGAGCGGACCCAGUGAUGGCUACGUGUCCUUUGCAUUUUCUCAUGACCAAUGGAUGGUUUGUAUCUAUUGCUUAUGUCUGGGGUGAUAGCAGGAGAGCCACCAGAGUGAGCUCUCAUCAGCAGUAGAUUAGCUGUGCCUUCCAGAGUUUAGGGAUCAGGCUUAAGGGUAGAAUGGGAAACGAAACUCGAAGAACAGAUCCAUUUCAACGGC